RNAcentral lists this ribosomal RNA (301 nucleotides) under uncultured bacterium. RNAcentral describes it as "partial 16S ribosomal RNA". It matches the Rfam family "Bacterial small subunit ribosomal RNA", at positions 509 to 807 of the family's 1533-position model. The record is from RNAcentral.
CAGCCGCCGCGGUAAUUCGUAGGGUGCAAGCGUUAAUCGGAAUUACUGGGCGUAAAGCGUGCGUAGGCGGUUUGUUAAGUCUGCUGUGAAAUCCCCGGGCUCAACCUGGGAAUGGCAGUGGAUACUGGCAAGCUAGAGCGUGUCAGAGGAUGGUGGAAUUCCCGGUGUAGCGGUGAAAUGCGUAGAGAUCGGGAGGAGCAUCAGUGGCGAAGGCGGCCAUCUGGGACAACACUGACGCUGAGGCACGAAAGCGUGGGGAGCAAACAGGAUUAGAUACCCCGGUAGUCCCUGUCUCUUAUAC